CCACUAGGGGGCGCUAUGGAACCCCAUCCCAACCUACCGCUCCCAUUGGGACCCCAGCCCCAAUUAAAGGGACACCAUGCCAUACCACAACCGUCCACUAGGGGGCAGCACUGAGACCCCAGCCCCAAUUAGGGGCCGCUAUUCCCCUUACCCACCACCAGGGGGCAGCACUGAGACCCCAGCCCCAAUUAGUUGCCGUUAUUCCCCUUACCCUCCACUAGAGGGCGCUAUGGAACCCCAUCCCCAACCUAUCGCUCCCAUUGAGACCCCAGCCCCAAUUAAAGGGACACCAUGCCAUACCACAACCGUCCACUAGGGGGCAGCACUGAGACCCCAGCCCCAAUUAUGGUCCCUUAUACCCCUUACCCUCCACUAGGGGGCGCUAUGGAACCCCAUCCCCAACCUAUCGCUCCCAUUACGCCCCCAGCCCCAAUUAGGGGCUGUUAUUCGCCUUAACCACCACCAGGGAGCAGCACUGAGACCCCAACCCCAAUUAGGGGCUGUUAUUCCCCCUCUAUCCACAAGGGGGCAGCACUGAGACCCCAGCCCCAAUUAGUUGCCAUUAUUCCCCCUCCCUCCACUAGGGGUCGCUAUAGAACCCCAUCCCCACCUAUUGCUCCCAUUACGCCCCCAGCCCCAAUUCCCCCCCGUAUCCCCCCCCUCACACGGUGGUGACUGACAGCAGCGGGUUGUAGACCCUCCCCCCAUCCGCCCCCCUCAACAUCCCCUGGAUCGUCACCCAAUUCUCCA
This 750-nucleotide long non-coding RNA is filed under the name Coturnix japonica (Japanese quail). RNAcentral's name for it is "lncRNA (ENSCJPG00005003436.1)". The record is from RNAcentral. Lineage: Eukaryota; Metazoa; Chordata; Aves; Galliformes; Phasianidae.